Ipomoea nil (Japanese morning glory) is the source of this 853-nucleotide long non-coding RNA. RefSeq lists it as uncharacterized. The transcript is spliced from 4 exons. Lineage: Eukaryota; Viridiplantae; Streptophyta; Magnoliopsida; Solanales; Convolvulaceae. The record is from RefSeq and is a predicted model, not a curated record.
AAAAAAAGACAAACGCCCUUCGAUCUCCUUCCUCGGCCCCUCGAUCGUCGUCUGUCCGCUGUGGUAUUCAUCGUCCGUCGUCCGCGUCAUCGUCCCGGCCUUCUCCGAUCGUCGUCUGUCCGCCGCGCAGGCCAUCCGUCCGUCAGCUCGCCGUCUGCCUCGCCACUCUCGCUGUUGGGUGUUCACACGGGGAGCAUUUUCUUCCUGUGAAUAUAAUGCGAAUUUCAUCAAAAUUUCCCAUCUUCUUUUUUCCUUCAACGAGUCGUUUUCAGUAAAAAAUUCCCCUUUUUUCUCAGCUUCUUCUGAGCUUUUUCACAAUUCGCGUCCCUAUUUCGAGUGAGGAAAAUGCAGUUAAGGAAAGCUUUCGAGCUUUGAUGGGGUGUAGGGCUUUGAAUUUUACUUGAAUUUUGAAAUACGGAAGAACACAGGCUUUUGGUGCGGAGAUGUCGAAUGGAAGGAUGCCUCACUUCCUCCAUGGCUUUAAUCCUUCGAUCAGCUCUGAGAAAUUGAGCUGGAAUAAUGAUAAAGUUGAAGAUGGGAUGGAAAAGGUAACAUCUAUAGUAAAAGGGCUGCGGUCAAAGAGGGCAUUGCUACCUCCAAAAGAAAGAUUUGAAAGGUGAUGACUUCUGAUUCUAUCAUCACUUGAUAAAAGCUAUUUCAAUGUUGGUUUGAGACUUAAUUCUAAUUUGUUAUUUUGAGCUCAACUUCCUGAAUUUAUGCAGAGUUCUGUGCUUGCCUUGGAAGAUUCGACAAUAGAUGCUGAUCAAGUUGAGAACAUCAUUAUGUUUUGCCCAACAAAGGAGGAGAUUGAAAUGCUUAUGGUAAAAAAAUGUUUUAGAUUUAUUAGCUAUUU